Molecule: long non-coding RNA, 994 nt
Filed under: Salvia miltiorrhiza (redroot sage)
Lineage: Eukaryota; Viridiplantae; Streptophyta; Magnoliopsida; Lamiales; Lamiaceae
Description: long non-coding RNA (SMIL_LNC005836)
Source: RNAcentral
CGCCCCACCGCCAAGAAGAUUCAGCCCACUGCCGCGUUCCUCCCUCCCCUGCAAACCCCCAAAAAAAGCAACAACCCAUCUCUUCUCACCUCCCCUCCCCAUCAAAAUUCAAGAUUCAGUCGCGCGUCGCCUCCUCCAUAUCCACAUCUGGAAACCCAGACGACCCCUCCUCCUGGCACCACUAACACUCACUCGUGCGCCGCCGCCCCUCCCCAAUUUGCCCAGCGCCGCCCCUUCUCUCACUUCUCUUGUCGAUUUCCCCAAUUUUUUUUUUGGCCGAUUUGAAUUGAGGUUUUCUUGCCAAUUUUUCCAAACACACAAGAACCCAAUUUCUUUUAGAAAGAAGGAAAUAUAUGGCUAACAAAGCACCCAUUUUUAAAAAUGAAACACACAAGAUCCCAUUUUUCUGUUGCUGCUUGUUGCAACAAUCUCGUGCCGCUGCAUUUUUCUUCAAGUGCAGGUGAGAUGUGGAUGGAUCAAAGAAGGUAAUGAAUAGAGGGCAAAUUUGGAGAAAAAAAAUACUCCCUCGGUCCAUGAAAAAGAGUCCCAUUUGGGGUUCGGCUCGGGUUUUAAGAAAGUUGUUAAAGUAGGUGUAAGUGAGAUAAAGGUAUAAUUUGUAGGGGCCUUAUUAGUACAAAAAGGUAGAAUAAAAGUACAUUUUUAGUUAAAAAGUGGAAUAAAAGUAUAAUUUAUAGUUAAAUAUAAGAAAAAAAGUAUGAUGUGAUGGUUCAAAAAGUUAAAUGAGACUCUUUUUCAUGGAAAAAAAAUGGGAUAAGUAGACUCACGGAGGGAGUACUAUAACUUGAUUUACUGUAGAAUCAAGCUUCCCUAACCGAGGGAGACCCCGUGCCUGUAUCCACGAUGAAACAGUGAUUUAGGCCCGUGCCGGACGUUUAAUCCGGGCUUUGAUAUUUUUUUAGUUGGGAGUGGUUUGAAAUUAAAGCCCAAUUUAAAGCCCAGUUCUGUCCGACGGGAUAGAAGUGUAAUUUCUUGC